This 253-nucleotide ribosomal RNA is filed under the name uncultured bacterium. Its description in RNAcentral is "partial 16S ribosomal RNA". It matches the Rfam family "Bacterial small subunit ribosomal RNA", at positions 524 to 776 of the family's 1533-position model. The record is from RNAcentral.
UACGGAGGGUGCAAGCGUUAUCCGGAUUCACUGGGUUUAAAGGGUGCGUAGGCGGGCAUUUAAGUCAGUGGUGAAAUACCUAAGCUUAACUUGGGAACUGCCAUUGAUACUAUUUGUCUUGAAUGUCGUGGAGGUUAGCGGAAUAUGUCAUGUAGCGGUGAAAUGCUUAGAUAUGACAUAGAACACCUAUUGCGAAGGCAGCUAACUACGCGAAUAUUGACGCUGAGGCACGAAAGCGUGGGGAUCAAACAGG